UUGAACGCUGGCGGCAUGCUUUACACAUGCAAGUCGAACGGCAGCGCGGGCUUCGGCCUGGCGGCGAGUGGCGAACGGGUGAGUAAUACAUCGGAACGUGCCCAGUAGUGGGGGAUAGCUCGGCGAAAGCCGGAUUAAUACCGCAUACGACCUGAGGGUGAAAGCGGGGGAUCUUCGGACCUCGCGCUAUUGGAGCGGCCGAUGGCAGAUUAGCUAGUUGGUGGGGUAAAGGCCUACCAAGGCGACGAUCUGUAGCUGGUCUGAGAGGACGACCAGCCACCCUGGGACUGAGACACGGCCCAGACUCCUACGGGAGGCAGCAGUGGGGAAUUUUGGACAAUGGGCGAAAGCCUGAUCCAGCAAUGCCGCGUGUGUGAUGAAGGCCUUCGGGUUGUAAAGCACUUUUGGCGGGAACGAAAAGGACUGUGCCAAUACCACGGUUCGAUGACGGUACCCGCAGAAUAAGCACCGGCUAACUACGUG
This 483-nucleotide ribosomal RNA is filed under the name uncultured bacterium. RNAcentral describes it as "partial 16S ribosomal RNA". It matches the Rfam family "Bacterial small subunit ribosomal RNA", at positions 29 to 507 of the family's 1533-position model. The record is from RNAcentral.